RNAcentral lists this long non-coding RNA (692 nucleotides) under Rattus norvegicus (Norway rat). RNAcentral's name for it is "long non-coding RNA NONRATT014737". Lineage: Eukaryota; Metazoa; Chordata; Mammalia; Rodentia; Muridae. The record is from RNAcentral.
UACGUGACAAUCUACAUAAUUCAGUAGCAGAUGAUUUAGUUGGGUUUUUUUUUCCUUCUCUUUUCUUUUCUUGAGACUGGCAGACUCCUUGUCCAGCAUCAUUCUAAACACACUGUUCACAUGUAAGCAUCUAAAGAUGAAGAAAGGGCGCCACGAAAUGCUCUACCAUAAACUUGGUUUGAAAGUAGAGAAAAGUUGCAGAAGUCCAGAGAGGCUGAAAGAUUAUAGGAGAAUUCUCAAUAUGGCUUUUAUAUACAGACUUCUUCUUUUAAUAACAUCUUAAGGGCUGGGAACCAAGGUUAUGCCGGCCUCACAGAAUGAGUUAGGAGGAUUUUUGACUUUUUUCCUUUCUCCGAGAGAGAAUGUCAGAUCUGUCUUAAAUGUGUUUGGAAGAAUUCCCAUUUGAACACUUGUUAGCCUGGAGUUCUCUUUGUUGGAACAUUUUAAUUAUGGAUCUAUUCUCUUCCAGAGACAGAGGAGCUCUUUUUGUGUAACUUUUUGAAUGCAAUUUCGUAAGACUAUAUUUUCUAAACUUCCCAAUCUUAUUUUAGUUUUUGUUUGUGUGUGAAUGUCUGAGGGGGUCAGAAGAGGGCACUGGAGCAGAAGUCACAGGUGGUCAUGAGCUAUGAAUUGUAGGUGCUGGGAACCAAACUGUGGUUCUUUAGAAGAGCAGUAAGUGUUCCUUGCCCCUG